AUAGGGGAGCCGUAGGGAAACCGAGUCUUAACUGGGCGAAUGAGUUGCAGGGUAUAGACCCGAAACCCGGUGAUCUAUCCAUGGGCAGGUUGAAGGUUGGGUAACACUAACUGGAGGACCGAACCGACUAAUGUUGAAAAAUUAGCGGAUGACUUGUGGAUGGGGGUGAAAGGCCAAUCAAACCGGGAGAUAGCUGGUUCUCCCCGAAAGCUAUUUAGGUAGCGCCUCGUGAAUUCAUCUUCGGGGGUAGAGCACUGUUUCGACUAGGGGGUCAUCCCGACUUACCAACUCGAUGCAAACUGCGAAUACCGAAGAAUGUUAUCACGGGAGACACACGGCGGGUGCUAACGUCCGUCGUGAAGAGGGAAACAACCCAGACCGCCAGCUAAGGUCCCAAAGUCAUGGUUAAGUGGGAAACGAAGUGGGAAGGCUCAGACAGCCAGGAUGUUGGCUUAGAAGCAGCCAUCAUUUAAAGAAAGCGUAAUAGCUCACUGGUCGAGUCGGCCCGCGCGGAAGAUGUAACGGGGCUAAACCAUGCACCGAAGCUGCGGCAGCGACACAUAGUGUUGUUGGGUAGGGGAGCGUUCUGUAAGCCUGCGAAGGUGUACUGUGAGGUAUGCUGGAGGUAUCAGAAGUGCGAAUGCUGACAUAAGUAACGAUAAUGCGGGUGAAAAACCCGCACGCCGGAAGACCAAGGGUUCCUGUCCAACGUUAAUCGGGGCAGGGUGAGUCGACCCCUAAGGCGAGGCUGAAAAGCGUAGUCGAUGGGAAACGGGUUAAUAUUCCCGUACUGGUGGUAACUGCGAUGGGGGAACGGAGAAGGCUAGGUUGUCCGGGCGACGGUCGUCCCGGUUCAAGCAGGUAGGCAGAGUGAUUAGGCAAAUCCGGUCACUUAAUGCUGAGAUGUGAUGACGAACCACUAAGGUGGUGAAGCAAUUGAUGCCCCGCUUCCAGGAAAAGCCUCUAAGCUUCAGGUUACCAACAAUCGUACCCCAAACCGACACAGGUGGUCAGGUAGAGAAUACUCAGGCGCUUGAGAGAACUCGGGUGAAGGAACUAGGCAAAAUGGUGCCGUAACUUCGGGAGAAGGCACGCUGGCGGUAGGUAAAGUCCCUCGCGGACGGCGCUGAAGCCAGUCGAAGAUACCAGCUGGCUGCAACUGUUUAUUAAAAACACAGCACUGUGCAAACACGAAAGUGGACGUAUACGGUGUGACGCCUGCCCGGUGCUGGAAGGUUAAUUGAUGGGGUUAGCGCAAGCGAAGCUCCUGAUCGAAGCCCCAGUAAACGGCGGCCGUAACUAUAACGGUCCUAAGGUAGCGAAAUUCCUUGUCGGGUAAGUUCCGACCUGCACGAAUGGCGUAAUGAUGGCCAGGCUGUCUCCACCCGAGACUCAGUGAAAUUGAACUCGCUGUGAAGAUGCAGUGUACCCGCGGCAAGACGGAAAGACCCCGUGAACCUUUACUAUAGCUUGACACUGAACAUUGAGCCUUGAUGUGUAGGAUAGGUGGGAGGCUUUGAAGUGUGGACGCCAGUCUGCAUGGAGCCAACCUUGAAAUACCACCCUUUAACGUUUGAUGUUCUAACCUAGGCCCAUAAACUGGGUCGGGGACCGUGUCUGGUGGGUAGUUUGACUGGGGCGGUCUCCUCCUAAAGAGUAACGGAGGAGCACGAAGGUUGGCUAAGCAUGGUCGGACAUCAUGCGGUUAGUGCAAAGGCAUAAGCCAGCUUGACUGCGAGAGUGACGGCUCGAGCAGGUACGAAAGUAGGUCUUAGUGAUCCGGUGGUUCUGAAUGGAAGGGCCAUCGCUCAACGGAUAAAAGGUACUCCGGGGAUAACAGGCUGAUACCGCCCAAGAGUUCAUAUCGACGGCGGUGUUUGGCACCUCGAUGUCGGCUCAUCACAUCCUGGGGCUGAAGUAGGUCCCAAGGGUAUGGCUGUUCGCCAUUUAAAGUGGUACGCGAGCUGGGUUUAGAACGUCGUGAGACAGUUCGGUCCCUAUCUGCCGUGGGCGUUGGAAGAUUGAGAGGGGUUGCUCCUAGUACGAGAGGACCGGAGUGAACGCACCACUGGUGUUCGGGUUGUCAUGCCAAUGGCAUUGCCCGGUAGCUAAGUGCGGAAGAGAUAACCGCUGAAAGCAUCUAAGCGGGAAACUUGCCUCGAGAUGAGUCUUCCCUGUCGCUUUAAGCGACCUAAAGGAACGUUUAAGACUAAGACGUUGAUAGGCUGGGUGUGUAAGCGUAGCGAUACGUUGAGCUAACCAGUACUAAUGAACCGUGAGGCUUAACCUG
This 2290-nucleotide ribosomal RNA is filed under the name Proteus mirabilis. Its description in RNAcentral is "partial 23S ribosomal RNA". It matches the Rfam family "Bacterial large subunit ribosomal RNA", at positions 657 to 2925 of the family's 2925-position model. Lineage: Bacteria; Pseudomonadati; Pseudomonadota; Gammaproteobacteria; Enterobacterales; Morganellaceae. The record is from RNAcentral.